Epinephelus moara (kelp grouper) is the source of this 267-nucleotide long non-coding RNA. RefSeq lists it as uncharacterized. The record is from RefSeq and is a predicted model, not a curated record. The transcript has 3 exons. NCBI's taxonomy places the organism in Eukaryota, Metazoa, Chordata, Actinopteri, Perciformes, Serranidae.
CUGUCAUUCUGCAGGUCAGUAACAGUGUCGUUCUGCAGGUCAGUAACAGUGUCAUUCUGCAGGUCAGUAACAGUGUCGUUCUGCAGGUCAGUAACAGUGUCGUUUUGCAGGUCAGUAACAGUGUCGUUCUGCAGGUCAGUAACAGUGUCGUUCUGCAGAAUGGUUUCUGUUUUAUUUUGCAUUUCAUCAGAAUAUUUAGUCCAUGUAAUGAGAGCUGGAGGGAAACUUUCAACACUGCAGAUCAGACUCAGAGCCUCACCCUCCUUC